AGGUAAAUCCGCUUUGAUAAUUCUGGGUUGUGAUGGGGAGCGAAUUUUAGUAGCUAAGCAGCUGAUUUCACACUGUCAAUACAAGUCCCUAUCGAGCCUUAAGGUACUCGUACUGCUAACCCACACAGGCGGCUGAGGAGAGUAUCCUAAGGCCCGCGAGAGAACUGUUGUUAAGGAACUCGGCAAACUGAACCCGUAACU
RNAcentral lists this ribosomal RNA (201 nucleotides) under Clostridioides difficile. RNAcentral's name for it is "partial 23S ribosomal RNA". It matches the Rfam family "Bacterial large subunit ribosomal RNA", at positions 1534 to 1735 of the family's 2925-position model. Lineage: Bacteria; Bacillati; Bacillota; Clostridia; Peptostreptococcales; Peptostreptococcaceae. The record is from RNAcentral.